Dunckerocampus dactyliophorus (ringed pipefish) is the source of this 2404-nucleotide long non-coding RNA. RefSeq lists it as uncharacterized. The record is from RefSeq and is a predicted model, not a curated record. NCBI's taxonomy places the organism in Eukaryota, Metazoa, Chordata, Actinopteri, Syngnathiformes, Syngnathidae. The transcript is spliced from 8 exons.
CUGGGAGGGCGUCAUUGAGCGUCACAUUGAGAGUGACAGGGGGCCACAGAGAGAUGGAGUGUCUAUAUGCUGAGCUCUAUUGAACACACAGACAAGCAAUUCAUUUCUCUUCUGUCGACACGUUUGUUGGGAAAGGACGGAUGCCUCCAGGCCUCUGCAAAGAAAUAAAUGUCAUCUGAUAUCUAGGUCGACUCUGACGUCUCGCCAUUGCACCAGGAGUGUCAUCACCCCGCCCCCAACAACAUUAAAUUCACAAGAGAAGAAGACGAAGCCGAGAAGGUGCCACAAGACCUCAACUGGAUUGUCCGACAUUUCUCAAGCCACACAGCAGGGGUCUCAAACUCAUGGCCUGCUGGGGCCCCUACUUCAAAAAUUAGUGUAAGUCUGGCCCGUGAAGCCUCGGCAACUUCAGAAGCACUUGCAGGGAGUGAAGCUGCGAAAUUCGAACCGUAAAGUGGCGAGGGACUACUAUACUUGAUGCAGUCCAACCUCAACCAGACUCUACCUCCAGCAGCGCCCAGGUGAGGCCUCACUUGACUGCUCUGUUCACAGAUCCUCUUAUAUUAUCAUUCAUUAGUGACUUCCCAGGCUCCUGCCACCUCUUCCAGCUCCGUUGGGGAGAUACCAAGGUGUUCCCAGGCCAGCUGUGAGACAUAAUCUCCCCAGUGUGUCCUAGGUCUACCCCCGGACCUCCUCCAGGCUGGGCAUGCCUGGAACACCUCACCAAGAAGGCGUCCAGGAGGCAUCUGGACUAGCUGCCCGAGCCACCUCAACUGGCUGAGUGGGAGGGUUCACUGAUUCAUUUCAUUUCUUCUGCUAGCAUUAAAGAAUUCAGAUCAGUUCCUCAGAUCCUUCAGUUCUAUACAGUAUCAGCGCUGGCUCUUGCACGUCAUCCUCCUGACUCCUCUCUUCUCCGAGACACGUGCCUGUUUCUCUGUCCGAGCUUGGCACGGGUGACGGGAUGAUGGUGCUGGAAAGAGUCACAGUCACAGUGGCACCUCCAAACUAUGGCCCUGGCAUGUUACCUGAGAGUCUUCAGUGUUAAACCAAAGCUCAGACCUGACCAACCAGCUUGAUGAGUGGGUAGCUUUUGUGACAUAUUUAGUGACAAAACUCAAAUACAGUGAAUCCCAGCAAAUUUUGUCUCCAAACAUAGUUAGAAAACACAUCUCAUUCACACUAAGUUGGUAAUAAUUUAUAGAUACAGUCAUCCCUUGCUUAUAGUGGUUAAUUGGUUCCAGACAUAACCGCGAUAAAUACAUUUUUGCGAUAUACGAUUCAAUGUUAAUAAAUUGAAUAUUUUUGUAGUUAGAGCAUAGAAAACCUGUGUAUGAUUUUCUAAAUACUGUUUUUAACAUUAUUAGAGCCAUGUAGACAUGAAACAACACACCUAUAGUCACCUUUACACGUCACGUUAUCCAUUGUUUAAAACACAUUGCGUAACUCGUAUGCUGCAGGGACUCAAGGCGGCUUUUAGCUACAAAGCUAGCUAGUUAGCCUCUAAUUUAUUUCUUUUAAACUUAAGAAGCCAAAAACUUCCCACUUCCACACGGAAUGGGAGGAGAACUUUAUUUCACUCUGCCAUGGCUGACUUCAUGACUUCAUGCAGUGUUAAGGUAAUGUAAUCUAAGGUAAUGUCUCAAUGUUUUGUGUCAUUACUGCCGCCUAGUGACCACAAUACAACAUAUCACAUGUAUUUCAAUAUAUUGUGACUAAUAAUAGACCAUAGUUUACCACGAAACAGCGUCCAUUCUGAAAAUACGCGAUGUAGCAAGGGAGCGAUAAACCGCGAUAUUGCGAGGGACGACUGUACACCACGUAAUAAUCCUGGCAAAAUGUACCGCUUACAUACACCAGCCCACAGUUUUUACAGUACAUGUUGAUGUCUUUAUGCUUCGCUGAUGAUGUUUUUUUGCCAAGCGAUGAGAUAUGUUCAACAGUCCUUGAACGCUCCAUAGAAAACUGAAGCUUAUGCAGUGAAACCUUGGUUAGCGUCAUUAAUUUGUUCCAGAAGGUCCGACUCGAACUGAAACAUACGCUAAAUGAAUAAAUUUUACCCAUAAGGAAUAAUGUAAAUCCAAUUAUAUUCGUUCCAGAAAGCCAAAAAUGUUAACACAAAACAUGUUUUUAUAGUUUUACAUGCAAAAAGAAGACGUGAUUCUUGACACUAUUUGGCAGCGAAAUCUACAUGGACACCACUUUCGUGUUUUGCCAUGAGUUAUUUCUUGUGAUUCUUCUAUUCUUCCAUCUACAGCAGGGGUGUCAAACUCAUCUUCAUUGAGGGCCACAUCGCAGCUACGGCUGCCCUCAGAGGGCCACUUGUAACUGUCAGUAUAUAUGAAUCUAAAUAUGAAUAUAACCUCAUGAUAUUAUUACACAGUUGCCCAUGCAUUAGAUUAUUAUA